Molecule: ribosomal RNA, 272 nt
Filed under: uncultured bacterium
Lineage: Bacteria
Description: partial 16S ribosomal RNA
Rfam family: Bacterial small subunit ribosomal RNA
Source: RNAcentral
AAGUUUGAUGGCGACCGGCGCACGGGUGAGUAACACGUAUCCAACCUGCCGAUGACUCGGGGAUAGCCUUUCGAAAGAAAGAUUAAUACCCGAUGGCAUAGUCUUCCGCAUGGUAGAACUAUUAAAGAAUUUCGGUCAUCGAUGGGGAUGCGUUCCAUUAGGUUGUUGGCGGGGUAACGGCCCACCAAGCCUUCGAUGGAUAGGGGUUCUGAGAGGAAGGUCCCCCACAUUGGAACUGAGACACGGUCCAAACUCCUACGGGAGGCAGCAUG